AAUGAACGCUGGCAGUGUGUUUUAGGCAUGCAAGUCGAACGGCAGCAUGAUAGAGCUUGCUCUAUUGAUGGCGAGUGGCGGACGGGUGAGUAACGCGUAGGAAUCUGCCCAUAGGACUGGGAUAGCCAAGGGAAACUUUGGGUAAUACCGGAUGAUAUCGAGAGAUCAAAGGGGCGUUUGCCUUACCUAUGGAUGAGCCUGCGUACCAUCAGCUAGUUGGUUAGGUAAUGGCUGACCAAGGCUAAGACGGUUAGCCGGCUUGAGAGAGUGGCCGGCCACAAGGGCACUGAGACACGGAUCCUACUCCUACGGGAGGCAGCAGCCAAGAAUAUUCCGCAAUGGGGGAAACCCUGACGGAGCGACACUGCGUGAAUGAUGAAGGCCUUCGGGUUGUAAAGUUCUUUUAUAAGGGAAGAAUAAGUUAGAGAGGAAAUGCUUUAAUGAUGACGGUACCUUAUGAAUAAGUCCCGGCUAAUUACGUACCAGCAGCCGCGGUAAUACGUAAGGGACGAGCGUUAUUCGGAAUUACUGGGCGUAAAGGGCGUGUAGGCGGUUAAUUAGGCUGAGUGUUAAAGACUGGGGCUCAACUUCAGAAGGGCAUUCAGAACCGGUUAACUAGAAUCUGGUGGAAGGCAACGGAAUUUCCCGU
Molecule: ribosomal RNA, 649 nt
Filed under: uncultured spirochete
Lineage: Bacteria; Pseudomonadati; Spirochaetota; Spirochaetia; Spirochaetales
Description: bacterial SSU rRNA
Rfam family: Bacterial small subunit ribosomal RNA
Source: RNAcentral